Non-coding RNA from Streptomyces sp. Mg1, 75 nucleotides. It matches the Rfam family "ASpks TB sRNA". The record is from Rfam. Lineage: Bacteria; Bacillati; Actinomycetota; Actinomycetes; Kitasatosporales; Streptomycetaceae.
CUUGAGCGAGCCCAGCCACAGCGGCCGCCCGUCGGGCCGGUCCUGGCCGUACGUGGCGAUGAUCGCCUGCGCCUC